This 65-nucleotide transfer RNA is filed under the name Graptacme eborea. RNAcentral's name for it is "tRNA-Trp". The record is from RNAcentral. Lineage: Eukaryota; Metazoa; Mollusca; Scaphopoda; Dentaliida; Dentaliidae.
AGGAUAUUAAGUUAUUUAAACUAUUACUUUUCAAAAGUAAAAAAGGUAUUUUUUGCCAUAUUUUG